RNAcentral lists this ribosomal RNA (497 nucleotides) under uncultured bacterium. RNAcentral's name for it is "partial 16S ribosomal RNA". It matches the Rfam family "Bacterial small subunit ribosomal RNA", at positions 28 to 507 of the family's 1533-position model. The record is from RNAcentral.
GAUGAACGCUGGCGGCGUGCCUAAUACAUGCAAGUCGAGCGAACAGACGAGGAGCUUGCUCCUCUGACGUUAGCGGCGGACGGGUGAGUAACACGUGGAUAACCUACCUAUAAGACUGGGAUAACUUCGGGAAACCGGAGCUAAUACCGGAUAAUAUAUUGAACCGCAUGGUUCAAUAGUGAAAGACGGUUUUGCUGUCACUUAUAGAUGUAUCCGCGCCGCAUUAGCUAGUUGGUAAGGUAACGGCUUACCAAGGCAACGAUGCGUAGCCGACCUGAGAGGGUGAUCGGCCACACUGGAACUGAGACACGGUCCAGACUCCUACGGGAGGCGGCAGUAGGGAAUCUUCCGCAAUGGGCGAAAGCCUGACGGAGCAACGCCGCGUGAGUGAUGAAGGUCUUCGGAUCGUAAAACUCUGUUAUUAGGGAAGAACAAAUGUGUAAGUAACUAUGCACGUCUUGACGGUACCUAAUCAGAAAGCCACGGCUAACUACGUG